CUAUCUCUUAACAUCUAACUAUUUUAAUAUAAUCACUUCUAAUAAAUGUGACACUUUUUUUCCCCAGCAGAAUUGUAAACAUGACGUAGUCUCCUCAGUAGUAUCAAGCUUGAAUAAAUGUGAAUGCUGCAGUGGACCCUUUUCCGCUUUUAAGUGGAUUGGUGUGAGAUGUAAGGUUUGUUCCUGCUUCUGGCAUAAAACUUGCUACAAGAAAAAUGUGAAGCCCAAACCUGACCCAUUAACAUCAGAUUCUGAAGAAGAAUUUUCCAGUGAGAAUUUGUCAGAUCGGGACUAUGUACCUAAUUCUGUUUCAGAAAGUUCAGAAGUGGGCAUAGUGUCUUCAGAAAAUGAAUGUCCUGAACAACUCUUAAACAUGCCGACUACUAAAGUGUCCUGCUUUGAAUCUACUGCAGAAAUUCAAAAUGGCAGACCAUGCCAAGACAGCAUCAUAGGUAAAGAUUCACACCCAAAAGAUCCAGUCUGCACAGCACAGCUUGAAAGGUCUU
Molecule: long non-coding RNA, 506 nt
Organism: Sinocyclocheilus rhinocerous
Lineage: Eukaryota; Metazoa; Chordata; Actinopteri; Cypriniformes; Cyprinidae
Exons: 3
Source: RefSeq, a predicted model, not a curated record